This 117-nucleotide ribosomal RNA is filed under the name Marseilla massiliensis. RNAcentral describes it as "partial 23S ribosomal RNA". It matches the Rfam family "Bacterial large subunit ribosomal RNA", at positions 2789 to 2925 of the family's 2925-position model. The record is from RNAcentral. Lineage: Bacteria; Pseudomonadati; Bacteroidota; Bacteroidia; Bacteroidales; Prevotellaceae.
GAAGCCGUCCGCAAGAUUAGGGCUCCUUGAGGGCCGUCGCAGACUACGACGUUGAUAGGGCGCAGGUGUAAAGGCGGCGACGCCAAAGCCGAGCGCUACUAAUUGCCCGAACGUUUC